Molecule: ribosomal RNA, 773 nt
Filed under: uncultured bacterium
Lineage: Bacteria
Description: bacterial SSU rRNA
Rfam family: Bacterial small subunit ribosomal RNA
Source: RNAcentral
GCAGUCGAGGGGCAGCAUAAUGAAUAGCAAUAUUUAUUGAUGGCGACCGGCGGACGGGUGCGUAACGCGUAUGCAACCUGCCCGGGACAGGAGGAUAAUCCGAAGAAAUUUGGUCUAAUACUCCGUAAUACUGACGAAGGCAUCUUUGUCGGUUGAAAACUGAGGUGGUUCCGGAUGGGCAUGCGUGAUAUUAGCUAGAUGGAGAGGUAACGGCUCACCAUGGCUACGAUAUCUAGGGGAACUGAGAGGUUAAUCCCCCACACUGGUACUGAGACACGGACCAGACUCCUACGGGAGGCAGCAGUGAGGAAUAUUGGACAAUGGGGGGAACCCUGAUCCAGCGACGCCGCGUGAGUGAAGAAGUAUUUCGGUAUGUAAAGCUCUGUCAGCAGGGAAGAAAGAAAUGACGGUACCUGACCAAGAAGCCCCGGCUAACUACGUGCCAGCAGCCGCGGUAAUACGUAGGGGGCAAGCGUUAUCCGGAAUUACUGGGUGUAAAGGGAGCGUAGACGGUUAAGUAAGUCUGGAGUGAAAGGCCGGGGCCCAACCCCGGGACUGCUCUGGAAACUAUUGAACUUGAGUGCAGGAGAGGUAAGCGGAAUUCCUAGUGUAGCGGUGAAAUGCGUAGAUAUUAGGAGGAACACCAGUGGCGAAGGCGGCUUACUGGACUGUAACUGACGUUGAGGCUCGAAAGCGUGGGGAGCAAACAGGAUUAGAUACCCUGGUAGUCCACGCCGUANACGAUGAUUACUAGGUGUCGGUGGGUAUGGACC